CCUACGGGAGGCAGCAGUGGGGAAUCUUGCGCAAUGGGCGAAAGCCUGACGCAGCCAUGCCGCGUGAAUGAUGAAGGUCUUAGGAUUGUAAAAUUCUUUCAGUAGGGACGAUAAUGACGGUACCUACAGAAGAAGCCCCGGCUAACUUCGUGCCAGCAGCCGCGGUAAUACGAAGGGGGCUAGCGUUGCUCGGAAUUACUGGGCGUAAAGGGAGCGUAGGCGGGUUAUCAAGUUGGAGGUGAAAGCCCAGGGCUCAACCUUGGAAUAGCCUUCAAAACUGAUAACCUAGAGGAUGGAAGAGGUAAGUGGAACUCCGAGUGUAGAGGUGAAAUUCGUAGAUAUUCGGAAGAACACCAGUGGCGAAGGCGACUUACUGGUCCAUUACUGACGCUGAGGCUCGAAAGCGUGGGGAGCAAACAGGAUUAGAUACCCUGGUAGUCCACGCUGUAAACGAUGAUUGCUAGUUGUCGGCAGGCAUGCCUGUCGGUGACGCAGCUAACGCAUUAAGCAAUCCGCCUGGGGAGUACGGUCGCAAGGAUUAAAACUCAAAUGAAUUGACGG
This 561-nucleotide ribosomal RNA is filed under the name uncultured bacterium. RNAcentral's name for it is "bacterial SSU rRNA". It matches the Rfam family "Bacterial small subunit ribosomal RNA", at positions 338 to 916 of the family's 1533-position model. The record is from RNAcentral.